AAAUGUGACACAGCCCUGAACACUUCACCUUGUGCUCUGGUCCUGGGCACUUGUACCCCCACCCCACCUCACACACACCCCACGUACACACACACACCACCUCACACACACACACACCACCUCACACACACACACACACCACCUCACACACACACACCCCCCCCCACACACACACACCACCUCACACACACACACACCACCUCACACACACACACCCCACACACACAAAACACACCACCUCACACACACACACAUACCACCUCACACAAACACACACCACCUCACACACACACCACCUCAACAUACACACACACCCCACCUCACACACACCCCACAUACACACACACACCACCUCACACACCCACACACAAAACACACCAUCUCACACACACACACAUACCACCUCACACACACCCCACAUACACACACACACCACCUCAACAUACACACACACCCCACCUCACACACAUCCCACAUACACACACACACCACCUCAACAUAAACACACACCCCCACAUACACACACACACCACCUCACACACACACACACACACACACACACAAACACACCACCUCACACACACACACCACCUCAACAUACACACACACCCCACCUCACACACACCCCACAUACACACACACCACCUCAACAUACACACACACACCACCUCAACAUACACACACACCCCACCUCACACACAUACACACACCCCACCUCACACACACACACACCACCUCACACACACACACACCACCUCACACACACAAACACACCACCUCAACAUUCACACACCCCCCACAAACACACACACACCACCUCAACAUAAACACAUACACCACCUCUCACACACACACACACACCACUUCACACACACACACACCACCUCAACAUACACACACACCCCACAUACACACACACACCACCUCAACAUAAAUACACAUACUCCACCUCUCACACACACCCCACACAAUACUCACACACACCACAUAACACACACCACCUCAACAUACACACACCCCACACAAUACUCCUCACACACAACACAUACACACACCACCACAACAUACACACACCUCCCACACACAUAUUCUUCACACAUAAACACACACACACUAUACACUCUUAUACGCCCCCACCUAUCAGGCACACAGACCGUAGAGAACACACAGUUACCACAUACGCACACACCUCAACACACACAUACACGCACCCCCACACAUUGCAAAUAUGCCACAUUAUAUAUCACACACACAUUAUACCACAUACUACACACACACACCCCACACCAUACAUACCAGCAUGCAACACACACACAUACCCAAGCCAAAAGCCUGUUUUGGGGAGUAGUAACUGGUAAUUUGUUUUUGCCCGAGGACGAGCCUCACAGGUAA
This 1392-nucleotide long non-coding RNA is filed under the name Bos indicus x Bos taurus (hybrid cattle). Its description in RNAcentral is "lncRNA (ENSBIXG00000009603.1)". Lineage: Eukaryota; Metazoa; Chordata; Mammalia; Artiodactyla; Bovidae. The record is from RNAcentral.